GAUCCUGGCUCAGGAUGAACGCUGGCGGCGUGCUUAACACAUGCAAGUCGAACGGGAAACCUUUUAUUGAAGCUUCGGCAGAUUUAGAUUGUUUCUAGUGGCGGACGGGUGAGUAACGCGUGGGUAACCUGCCUUGUACAGGGGGAUAACAGUCAGAAAUGACUGCUAAUACCGCAUAAGCGCACAGGACCGCAUGGUCCGGUGUGAAAAACUCCGGUGGUAUAAGAUGGACCCGCGUUGGAUUAGCUAGUUGG
RNAcentral lists this ribosomal RNA (254 nucleotides) under uncultured bacterium. RNAcentral's name for it is "partial 16S ribosomal RNA". It matches the Rfam family "Bacterial small subunit ribosomal RNA", at positions 15 to 252 of the family's 1533-position model. The record is from RNAcentral.